RNAcentral lists this transfer RNA (65 nucleotides) under Strophosoma melanogrammum. RNAcentral describes it as "tRNA-Arg". The record is from RNAcentral. Lineage: Eukaryota; Metazoa; Arthropoda; Insecta; Coleoptera; Curculionidae.
AAAUAAGAAGCAAACAAUUGCAUUUAGUUUCGACCUAAAAAUUUGAUAAUAAUUAUCCUUAUUUA